This 471-nucleotide ribosomal RNA is filed under the name Onchocerca sp. type I KA-2020. RNAcentral describes it as "partial small subunit ribosomal RNA". Lineage: Eukaryota; Metazoa; Nematoda; Chromadorea; Rhabditida; Onchocercidae. The record is from RNAcentral.
UACGUUUUGAUUUUUAACUCUAUUUGUUGUAGUGUCUUAAACUUUUAUAUAUUUUUUACUUUAUUUUUUGUAAAAUGUUUUAAUUUGAUUUUGUUUUUUUAAGAUAUUAAAAAUUUGGUUUUUGAACUGGAUUAGUACCCAGGUAAUCAAAGUUUAUUAAUUCGGGAGUAAAGUUUUGUUUAAACCGAAAAAAUAUUGACUGACCUUAGAUUUUUCUUUGGAAUAUGUGUUUUGCUGGAGAGCCCUCUUUUUUGGUGAAUUUUGUUGGCACAUGUAUGAUUGUUUAGUUUUUAUUUUAUUUUGUAAUGCUUUUUGUGUUGGCAUUUAAAACAGAUAUAUACUUGGCUUAUAAAUUUAUUUUUCAUGUGUUACUAUUAUAAAUUUUUUUUGGAUUAAUUUUUUAUUUUUUUUUUGAAAUUGGAAAAGAAAGUAAUUUUUUCUUAAUGUUUUGAUGAAUUUAAUAAAUAAGGU